AUACGUAGGGGGCAAGCGUUGUCCGGAAUUACUGGGCGUAAAGGGUGCGUAGGCGGCCCUUCAGGUCAGAUGUGAAAUACCCGUGCUUAACACGGGGGCUGCAUUUGAAACCGGAGGGCUUGAGUGUGGAAGAGGUAAGUGGAAUUCCCGGUGUAGCGGUGAAAUGCGUAGAGAUCGGGAGGAACACCAGUGGCGAAGGCGACUUACUGGGCCACAACUGACGCUGAGGCACGAAAGCGUGGGGAGC
This 247-nucleotide ribosomal RNA is filed under the name uncultured bacterium. RNAcentral's name for it is "partial 16S ribosomal RNA". It matches the Rfam family "Bacterial small subunit ribosomal RNA", at positions 523 to 769 of the family's 1533-position model. The record is from RNAcentral.